GAAAACAAUUAUGUACACUGAAUAACCUCAUACCUUCACAAGGCCUUUAGAGAAAACUUGCUGUUUGCUUGGCGGACAAGCCCUGUGAAGUCUGUUGCCAUUGAAUUUAGCUUGUCACUGUAUUGAUUGAGCUGAUAUCAGGUGUUUCCUUUGCUUCUGUUAAUUCCACGUUCAGUUGCUGUACGCUUCAAAUUCUUCAGCUCCUGAGGGUACUAGAAGAGGCACCCAGCCUUUAAGCAGACUGUUUUAGUAGUGCUGCUGUUUGACACUGUUGGUGGUGAACACUGAAAUGACAGCGUCCAAUCUGUCCGCAAAGCAGCCAUAGUCCGUAGGACAGAGCAUCAACACAGCAGCGAUGAGGAAGUUUCCAAAGAAGCUGAGGUGAUCUAAAGCUCAAUGAAAAAACAUUAGUCAUACAUGAAAUGUUUCCUACCUGGCAACUUCAGAAUCAACAGGUUGGAAAUCUAGAAAGCAAGAGCAUGAAGCAAAUGAGCCACUUGUGUUUGUUUCCAAGUAGGGACCUCUUUAUAUCAUUAAUUUAGUCUCAAGCUUCCCAGCAGCCAAUCUCUAGCCAUUUAAUACAGAAGAGUUCAAUGGACAUUUACUCUUUGUGCACAUAUUCACUCUUGCAGUUCUGAGGAAAAUUCACUUGAGGUUCUCCAAGAGAAGACACUGUACCUGGCAGGAUUUCAGAGGACAGCUUGAGCUCCCAGCCUCUCUAGGGAUCACCAACAUACAAAUCAGGUGGCACUGCCUACUGAUGUGCUGCAGCACAGAGAUGUCCUGCUUGGAGGCUUCUUCGGGAUCUCUGCAAGCUAUGGAAAUGAUGCCUUAA
This 835-nucleotide long non-coding RNA is filed under the name Pavo cristatus (Indian peafowl). Its description in RNAcentral is "lncRNA (ENSPSTG00000008739.1)". The record is from RNAcentral. Lineage: Eukaryota; Metazoa; Chordata; Aves; Galliformes; Phasianidae.